GGAUCCUCCAAUCUUCGCUCCUCCAAUCUCCGCUCCUCCACCCAGUUCAGGAACCCGCGACCGCUCGCAGCGCUCUCUUGACCACUAUGAGCCUCCUGUCCAGCCGCGCGGCCCGUGUCCCCGGUCCUUCGAGCUCCUUGUGCGCGCUGUUGGUGCUGCUGCUGCUGCUGACGCAGCCAGGGCCCAUCGCCAGCGCUGGUCCUGCCGCUGCUGUGUUGAGAGAGCUGCGUUGCGUUUGUUUACAGACCACGCAAGGAGUUCAUCCCAAAAUGAUCAGUAAUCUGCAAGUGUUCGCCAUAGGCCCACAGUGCUCCAAGGUGGAAGUGAGCCUCCCUGAAGAACGGGAAGGAAAUUUGUCUUGAUCCAGAAGCCCCUUUUCUAAAGAAAGUCAUCCAGAAAAUUUUGGACGGUGGAAACAAGGAAAACUGAUUAAGAGAAAUGAGCACGCAUGGAAAAGUUUCCCAGUCUUCAGCAGAGAAGUUUUCUGGAGGUCUCUGAACCCAGGGAAGACAAGAAGGAAAGAUUUUGUUGUUGUUUGUUUAUUUGUUUUUCCAGUAGUUAGCUUUCUUCCUGGAUUCCUCACUUUGAAGAGUGUGAGGAAAACCUAUGUUUGCCGCUUAAGCUUUCAGCUCAGCUAAUGAAGUGUUUAGCAUAGUACCUCUGCUAUUUGCUGUUAUUUUAUCUGCUAUGCUAUUGAAGUUUUGGCAAUUGACUAUAGUGUGAGCCAGGAAUCACUGGCUGUUAAUCUUUCAAAGUGUCUUGAAUUGUAGGUGACUAUUAUAUUUCCAAGAAAUAUUCCUUAAGAUAUUAACUGAGAAGGCUGUGGAUUUAAUGUGGAAAUGAUGUUUCAUAAGAAUUCUGUUGAUGGAAAUACACUGUUAUCUUCACUUUUAUAAGAAAUAGGAAAUAUUUUAAUGUUUCUUGGGGAAUAUGUUAGAGAAUUUCCUUACUCUUGAUUGUGGGAUACUAUUUAAUUAUUUCACUUUAGAAAGCUGAGUGUUUCACACCUUAUCUAUGUAGAAUAUAUUUCCUUAUUCAGAAUUUCUAAAAGUUUAAGUUCUAUGAGGGCUAAUAUCUUAUCUUCCUAUAAUUUUAGACAUUCUUUAUCUUUUUAGUAUGGCAAACUGCCAUCAUUUACUUUUAAACUUUGAUUUUAUAUGCUAUUUAUUAAGUAUUUUAUUAGGAGUACCAUAAUUCUGGUAGCUAAAUAUAUAUUUUAGAUAGAUGAAGAAGCUAGAAAACAGGCAAAUUCCUGACUGCUAGUUUAUAUAGAAAUGUAUUCUUUUAGUUUUUAAAGUAAAGGCAAACUUAACAAUGACUUGUACUCUGAAAGUUUUGGAAACGUAUUCAAACAAUUUGAAUAUAAAUUUAUCAUUUAGUUAUAAAAAUAUAUAGCGACAUCCUCGAGGCCCUAGCAUUUCUCCUUGGAUAGGGGACCAGAGAGAGCUUGGAAUGUU
RNAcentral lists this long non-coding RNA (1457 nucleotides) under Homo sapiens (human). RNAcentral describes it as "long non-coding RNA NONHSAT200055.1". Lineage: Eukaryota; Metazoa; Chordata; Mammalia; Primates; Hominidae. The record is from RNAcentral.